GAUGAACGCUGGCGGCGUGCCUAAUACAUGCAAGUCGAGCGAACGGACGAGAAGCUUGCUUUUCUGGUGUUAGCGGCGGACGGGUGAGUAACACGUGGAUAACCUACCUAUAAGACUGGGAUAACUUCGGGAAACCGGAGCUAAUACCGGAUAAUAUUUUGAACCGCAUGGUUCAAAAGUGAAAGACGGUCUUGCUGUCACUUAUAGAUGGAUCCGCGCUGCAUUAGCUAGUUGGUAAGGUAACGGCUUACCAAGGCAACGAUGCAUAGCCGACCUGAGAGGGUGAUGGCCACAGCGGAACUUGAACCCGGUCCCAGACCCUAAGGGGGGCAGGAGGUGGGAAAUCUCCCGAAAGGGGGGAAGCCCUGACGAACAACCCCGCGGGGGGUAUUAAGGUCUUCGGAUCCGAAAACCUUUUUAAUUAGGAAAAACAAAAUGUGAAGGUACCGUUCACCUCCUGACGGUAACCAAACAGAAAGGCACGGCUAACUACGUU
This 496-nucleotide ribosomal RNA is filed under the name uncultured bacterium. RNAcentral's name for it is "partial 16S ribosomal RNA". It matches the Rfam family "Bacterial small subunit ribosomal RNA", at positions 28 to 507 of the family's 1533-position model. The record is from RNAcentral.